This 449-nucleotide ribosomal RNA is filed under the name uncultured bacterium. Its description in RNAcentral is "partial 16S ribosomal RNA". It matches the Rfam family "Bacterial small subunit ribosomal RNA", at positions 29 to 523 of the family's 1533-position model. The record is from RNAcentral.
AACGAACGCUGGCGGCAUGCCUAACACAUGCAAGUCGAACGAGACCUUCGGGUCUAGUGGCGCACGGGUGCGUAACGCGUGGGAAUCUGCCCUUGGGUUCGGGAUAACAGUUGGAAACGACUGCUAAUACCGGAUGAUGUCUUCGGACCAAAGAUUUAUCGCCCAAGGAUGAGCCCGCGUAGGAUUAGCUUGUUGGUGAGGUAAGAGCUCACCAAGGCGACGAUCCUUAGCUGGUCUGAGAGGAUGAUCAGCCACACUGGGACUGAGACACGGCCCAGACUCCUACGGGAGGCAGCAGUGGGGAAUAUUGGACAAUGGGCGAAAGCCUGAUCCAGCAAUGCCGCGUGAGUGAUGAAGGCCUUAGGGUUGUAAAGCUCUUUUACCCGGGAUGAUAAUGACAGUACCGGGAGAAUAAGCCCCAGCUAACUCCGUGCCAGCCGCCGCCGUAA